AGAGAGAAAGUUGAGUGGAAGAUGAGUGAUUUGAAAAACAGAGGAAGAAUCCUCAACCGAUGGCGACUCUCCACUCAAGGCGGUGCACAGCACCCAAAGGCGUAGCACAUUGCCCGAGGCGACAGUGCGCCUCCCCAGGCCGGCCGCAUGCUACAGGCCUAGCCUGUAAGCACCAAGCUAUCCUGCCACGCGCAAGGCCUACAGCUCACAGGGCGCUAUACGCAGGCCUACCACGCGGAUGACGCGUGCACAGGCCGCAUGGUGCCUUGCCUUGUCCACGCACGAUGUGACGCGCGCAAAGUGGCCUAU
This 309-nucleotide long non-coding RNA is filed under the name Carica papaya (papaya). RNAcentral describes it as "long non-coding RNA (CPAP_LNC008331)". The record is from RNAcentral. Lineage: Eukaryota; Viridiplantae; Streptophyta; Magnoliopsida; Brassicales; Caricaceae.